GGAGGCUGCAGUGGGGAAUAUUGCGCAAUGGGCGAAAGCCUGACGCAGCGACGCCGCGUGAGGGAUGAAGGCCUUCGGGUUGUAAACCUCUUUCAGCAGGGACGAAGCGAGAGUGACGGUACCUGCAGAAGAAGCACCGGCCAACUACGUGCCAGCAGCCGCGGUAAUACGUAGGGUGCAAGCGUUGUCCGGAAUUAUUGGGCGUAAAGAGCUCGUAGGCGGUCUGUCGCGUCGGCUGUGAAAACUCGGGGCUCAACCCCGAGCCUGCAGUCGAUACGGGCAGACUAGAGUGCUGUAGGGGAGACUGGAAUUCCUGGUGUAGCGGUGAAAUGCGCAGAUAUCAGGAGGAACACCGGUGGCGAAGGCGGGUCUCUGGGCAGUAACUGACGCUGAGGAGCGAAA
RNAcentral lists this ribosomal RNA (402 nucleotides) under uncultured bacterium. RNAcentral's name for it is "bacterial SSU rRNA". It matches the Rfam family "Bacterial small subunit ribosomal RNA", at positions 344 to 758 of the family's 1533-position model. The record is from RNAcentral.